RNAcentral lists this unclassified non-coding RNA (192 nucleotides) under plant metagenome. RNAcentral's name for it is "partial contains small subunit ribosomal RNA, internal transcribed spacer 1, and 5.8S ribosomal RNA". The record is from RNAcentral.
UUUCCGUAGGUGAACCUGCGGAAGGAUCAUUAACGAGUCAAGUCCUACGGGACUUUCUUAUCCAACCACUUGUGAAAAUUAAUUUUUGCUUUGGGAAUUUAAUUAUUUCAGACAAUCUAAGACACUAAGUUGUCUUUUGUCUAAAUGAUUAUUUAAAAAUCAAAACUUUCAACAACGGAUCUCUUGGUCCUC